RNAcentral lists this ribosomal RNA (875 nucleotides) under uncultured bacterium. RNAcentral's name for it is "bacterial SSU rRNA". It matches the Rfam family "Bacterial small subunit ribosomal RNA", at positions 505 to 1380 of the family's 1533-position model. The record is from RNAcentral.
GUGGCAGCAGCCGCGGUAAUACAGAGGGUGCAAGCGUUAAUCGGAAUUACUGGGCGUAAAGCGAGCGUAGGUGGCUUGAUAAGUCAGAUGUGAAAUCCCCGGGCUUAACCUGGGAACUGCAUCUGAAACUGUUAGGCUAGAGUAGGUGAGAGGGAAGUAGAAUUUCAGGUGUAGCGGUGAAAUGCGUAGAGAUCUGAAGGAAUACCGAUGGCGAAGGCAGCUUCCUGGCAUCAUACUGACACUGAGGCUCGAAAGCGUGGGUAGCAAACAGGAUUAGAUACCCUGGUAGUCCACGCCGUAAACGAUGUCUACUAGUCGUUGGGUCCCUUGAGGACUUAGUGACGCAGCUAACGCAAUAAGUAGACCGCCUGGGGAGUACGGCCGCAAGGUUAAAACUCAAAUGAAUUGACGGGGGCCCGCACAAGCGGUGGAGCAUGUGGUUUAAUUCGAUGCAACGCGAAGAACCUUACCUGGUCUUGACAUACACAGAAUCUUGUAGAGAUACGAGAGUGCCUUCGGGAAUUGUGAUACAGGUGCUGCAUGGCUGUCGUCAGCUCGUGUCGUGAGAUGUUGGGUUAAGUCCCGCAACGAGCGCAACCCUUGUCCUUAGUUACCAGCACUUCGGGUGGGAACUCUAAGGAUACUGCCAGUGACAAACUGGAGGAAGGCGGGGACGACGUCAAGUCAUCAUGGCCCUUACGACCAGGGCUACACACGUGCUACAAUGGUAGGUACAGAGGGCAGCUACACAGCGAUGUGAUGCGAAUCUCAAAAAGCCUAUCGUAGUCCAGAUUGGAGUCUGCAACUCGACUCCAUGAAGUAGGAAUCGCUAGUAAUCGCGGAUCAGAAUGCCGCGGUGAAUACGUUCCCGGGCC